CACAUCUGGAUCAGGUAACCUGCAGGCUGAGUCAUGGAAAGGUAAAAGAAGGAAAGGAUCAUGGCUCAUCUUCCCACCAAUCAAAAGACAGCGAUGAAAGAAGAAAAAAGAAUAAUCAAUUCAGGGAAACCAUUGCAGUUUUUACAUUUUUGUCAUGACUUAAACACAAAGUAAGUAUUGCAAAUACUUAAAUACUUGAGUUUUUCUCUGGCCAAACUGGAAACUCAUUCAUUGAAAUUUCGAGAGGCUGUUCUGACCAUUAACAUUUUUAUCAUCAGUAAAAGCGAGCAAAAAAGAGUUCAUCUGAGGGGAAACAAGGCCUUGAAAUCACAGUAUUCUUUGAAAGUGUGGGUCCACUCGUCUUGACUCUCUGAGGAAGUGAAACUGAUGCGGAGCUUGCCUUCCUUUUGCAUUGUCCUCACUGGAAACAUUCAACAAUCCUGUGGAGAUGCAUAACACCUCCAUCUGAAAUCUCUCUGAUGCUUUAGAAGAAACUUACGUCUAUCAAAAUAGACCAACAUCUGUGCCGAAAUUCCAAGGAGAAUUGCAGAAGAAUUAUCUCAGCAUUUGUUGGUUCUUCUCAUGAUGAAAUGGCAAGAUGGGGAAAUCUUGGAAAAUGUCCUGUGUGAUUAAUAAUUAGUCAUCACCAGUGGUCUAUCAAUUGUAGUGCACUUUGUAUUGGUGGUAAUAAUCACUGGGUUAACUGGCUCCAGCAUUGUUUAGAGAUCAAAUGUUCUAGGGUGAAGAACCAACGAAAUAGCUUCUGUUGUUGACCUGAAGUGAUGAUCGUCAAUUCAGAAUGGGUCUAAGUCGUUUGUCAGGAGCCUGCAGAGAUUUGGCAUGCCAUCAAAAACCUUGGCAAACGUCUGUAGAUGAGUGGUGGAAAAUGUGCCGACUGGUUGUAUUAUGGCCCUGGAUUGGG
Molecule: long non-coding RNA, 922 nt
Organism: Hypanus sabinus (Atlantic stingray)
Lineage: Eukaryota; Metazoa; Chordata; Chondrichthyes; Myliobatiformes; Dasyatidae
Exons: 3
Source: RefSeq, a predicted model, not a curated record